Molecule: ribosomal RNA, 429 nt
Filed under: Bacillota bacterium
Lineage: Bacteria; Bacillati; Bacillota
Description: Firmicutes bacterium partial 16S ribosomal RNA
Rfam family: Bacterial small subunit ribosomal RNA
Source: RNAcentral
UAGGGAAUCUUCGGCAAUGGACGGAAGUCUGACCGAGCAACGCCGCGUGAGUGAAGAAGGUUUUCGGAUCGUAAAGCUCUGUUGUUAGAGAAGAACGUUGGUAGGAGUGGAAAAUCUACCAAGUGACGGUAACUAACCAGAAAGGGACGGCUAACUACGUGCCAGCAGCCGCGGUAAUACGUAGGUCCCGAGCGUUGUCCGGAUUUAUUGGGCGUAAAGCGAGCGCAGGCGGUUCUUUAAGUCUGAAGUUAAAGGCAGUGGCUUAACCAUUGUACGCUUUGGAAACUGGAGGACUUGAGUGCAGAAGGGGAGGGUGGAAUUCCAUGUGUAGCGGUGAAAUGCGUAGAUAUAUGGAGGAACACCGGUGGCGAAAGCGGCUCUCUGGUCUGAAACUGACGCUGAGGCUCGAAAGCGUGGGGAGCAAACAGG